RNAcentral lists this ribosomal RNA (183 nucleotides) under Triticum aestivum (bread wheat). RNAcentral's name for it is "partial small subunit ribosomal RNA". Lineage: Eukaryota; Viridiplantae; Streptophyta; Magnoliopsida; Poales; Poaceae. The record is from RNAcentral.
CAGGGUUAUGAUAUUAGCUUCCUCAUAACAAACUACCACUGUGAGGACAUGCACAAGCAUAAGCUCAUAGAUUUCAUUGUUCAGUUUAUGGAGGACAUUGACAAGGAGAUCAGCGAGCUGAAGCUGUCGGUGAACACACAUGGCCGGCUGGUGGCAACCGAGUUCCUAAAGCAGUUCAUCUGA